This 321-nucleotide long non-coding RNA is filed under the name Elaeis guineensis (African oil palm). RNAcentral describes it as "long non-coding RNA (EGUI_LNC054318)". Lineage: Eukaryota; Viridiplantae; Streptophyta; Magnoliopsida; Arecales; Arecaceae. The record is from RNAcentral.
GACCUAUCCAGACAUCAAAAAUCAUUGCUAGCUGGUAACUUCGAUUGGUAAAGAAAACGGUUCCUGUGCUAUCGGUUUAGUGUUCGAACCUAUGGAGUCAUGCACAAAGUCAAGUGAUAUAGGAAAGAAUUGACCUAAGUCUAUAUGUUCAAUUUGAAAAUAUGUGACUUGAUUGAACAAAUAGAUUAAUUUGAUUGAGAUUUAAGUUAUGGAUCAUUCGGAAUUAAAUAGUUGACUAUGUCUAGCUAGCACUAGACACGAUGUUUAGGUUCAAUUCCGGAGAUGAACGAGAUUUGAUCUUUGAUCCAAGGAGUCUAUGAG